GGAUGUAAGGGCAAUCUGGCUGCGACAUCUGUUACCCCAUUGAUUGUCAGGUUUGGUUCAUCUGAUCCGGUGGACUAAAUGGUGAUCUCCUUCCUCCUGUGCUGCUCCGUGGAUGUCCCUCCCAAAGCUGCAUGCUCAGUGGAAGAUGACCACUUCUCCACCCGUCUUUGGUCAGGGAUAUGAGUAGCUGCCAAAAACAAGCUCUCAAGGAUAUGGAAUCU
RNAcentral lists this small nuclear RNA (221 nucleotides) under Jaculus jaculus (lesser Egyptian jerboa). RNAcentral describes it as "7SK RNA (ENSJJAG00000004756.1)". It matches the Rfam family "7SK RNA". From Rfam's summary of the family: 7SK was discovered as an abundant small nuclear RNA in the mid-70s but a possible function has only recently been suggested. Two independent studies have found that 7SK RNA binds the CDK9/cyclin T complex (known as elongation factor P-TEFb). Lineage: Eukaryota; Metazoa; Chordata; Mammalia; Rodentia; Dipodidae. The record is from Rfam by way of RNAcentral.